UAAGUAACAGGUCGUAGACCCGAAACCAGGUGAUCUACCCAUGUCCAGGAUGAAGGUAAGGUAAUACUUACUGGAGGUCCGAACCCACGCACGUUGAAAAGUGCGGGGAUGAGGUGUGGGUAGCGGAGAAAUUCCAAUCGAACUUGGAGAUAGCUGGUUCUCUCCGAAAUAGCUUUAGGGCUAGCCUCGAGGUAAAGAGUCAUGGAGGUAGAGCACUGUUUGGACUAGGGGCCCUUCUCGGGUUACCGAAUUCAGAUAAACUCCGAAUGCCAUGUACUUAUACUCGGGAGUCAGACUGCGAGUGAUAAGAUCCGUAGUCGAAAGGGAAACAGCCCAGACCACCAGUUAAGGUCCCCAAAUAUAUGUUAAGUGGAAAAGGAUGUGGGGUUGCUUAGACAACCAGGAUGUUGGCUUAGAAGCAGCCACCAUUGAAAGAGUGCGUAAUAGCUCACUGGUCGAGUGACCCCGCGCCGAAAAUGUACCGGGGCUAAACAUAUUACCGAAACUGUGGAUGAACCUCUUCGGAGGUUCGUGGUAGGAGAGCGUUCUAAGGGCGGUGAAGUCAGACCGGAAGGACUGGUGGAGCGCUUAGAAGUGAGAAUGCCGGUAUGAGUAGCGAAAGAAGGGUGAGAAUCCCUUCCACCGAAUAUCUAAGGUUUCCUGAGGAAGGCUCGUCCGCUCAGGGUUAGUCGGGACCUAAGCCGAGGCCGAUAGGCGUAGGCGAUGGACAACAGGUAGAGAUUCCUGUACCAGUGCUAAUUGUUUAACCGAUGGGGUGACACAGAAGGAUAGGGAAUCGCACGAAUGGAAAUGUGCGUCCAAGCAGUGAGUGUGAGAAGUAGGCAAAUCCGCUUCUCGCGAAGCAUGAGCUGUGAUGGGGAAGGAAAUUAAGUACGGAAGUUCCUGAUUUCACGCUGUCAAGAAAAGCCUCUAGGAAGAGUAGUACUGCCCGUACCGCAAACCGACACAGGUAGAUGAGGAGAGAAUCCUAAGGUGAGCGAGAGAACUCUCGUUAAGGAACUCGGCAAAAUGACCCCGUAACUUCGGGAGAAGGGGUGCUCUAUUAGGGUGCAAGCCCGAGAGAGCCGCAGUGAAUAGGCCCAGGCGACUGUUUAGCAAAAACACAGGUCUCUGCAAAACCGUAAGGUGACGUAUAGGGGCUGACGCCUGCCCGGUGCUGGAAGGUUAAGAGGAGUGCUUAGCUUCGGCGAAGGUACGAAUUGAAGCCCCAGUAAACGGCGGCCGUAACUAUAACGGUCCUAAGGUAGCGAAAUUCCUUGUCGGGUAAGUUCCGACCCGCACGAAAGGCGCAACGAUCUGGGCACUGUCUCAACGAGAGACUCGGUGAAAUUAUAGUACCUGUGAAGAUGCAGGUUACCCGCGACAGGACGGAAAGACCCCGUGGAGCUUUACUGCAACCUGAUAUGGAAUGUUUGUACCGCUUGUACAGGAUAGGUAGGAGCCGAAGAGACGUGUGCGCUAGCAUACGAGGAGGCAAUGGUGGGAUACUACCCUGGCUGUAUGACCAUUCUAACCCGCCACGCUAAGCGCGUGGGGAGACAGUGUCAGGUGGGCAGUUUGACUGGGGCGGUCGCCUCCUAAAGAGUAACGGAGGCGCCCAAAGGUUCCCUCAGAAUGGAUGGAAAUCAUUCGCAGAGUGUAAAGGCACAAGGGAGCUUGACUGCGAGACUGACAAGUCGAGCAGGGACGAAAGUCGGGCUUAGUGAUCCGGUGGUUCCGCAUGGAAGGGCCAUCGCUCAACGGAUAAAAGCUACCCCGGGGAUAACAGGCUUAUCUCCCCCAAGAGUCCACAUCGACGGGGAGGUUUGGCACCUCGAUGUCGGCUCGUCGCAUCCUGGGGCUGUAGUCGGUCCCAAGGGUUGGGCUGUUCGCCCAUUAAAGCGGCACGCGAGCUGGGUUCAGAACGUCGUGAGACAGUUCGGUCCCUAUCCGUCGCGGGCGCAGGAAAUUUGAGAGGAGCUGUCCUUAGUACGAGAGGACCGGGAUGGACACACCGCUGGUGUACCAGUUGUUCCGCCAGGAGCAUCGCUGGGUAGCUAUGUGUGGCAGGGAUAAACGCUGAAAGCAUCUAAGCGUGAAGCCCCCCUCAAGAUGAGAUUUCCCAUUUCUUCGGAAAGUAAGAUCCCUGAAAGAUGAUCAGGUAGAUAGGUUUGGAGUGGAAGUGUAGCGAUACAUGGAGCGGACAAAUACUAAUCGAUCGAGGACUUAACCAAAA
This 2236-nucleotide ribosomal RNA is filed under the name Listeria innocua. Its description in RNAcentral is "partial 23S ribosomal RNA". It matches the Rfam family "Bacterial large subunit ribosomal RNA", at positions 696 to 2925 of the family's 2925-position model. The record is from RNAcentral. Lineage: Bacteria; Bacillati; Bacillota; Bacilli; Caryophanales; Listeriaceae.